UUCGAUGGAGACCCCGGAUAGGCCGCAA
This 28-nucleotide non-coding RNA is filed under the name Bombyx mori (domestic silkworm). The record is from RNAcentral. Lineage: Eukaryota; Metazoa; Arthropoda; Insecta; Lepidoptera; Bombycidae.